CGGAGGAGCGCGGAGCUCUGUCCCAGGGGGCGUGGCCUAGGCGAGGGUGCACGGGACCCGCUGUGCGGGCGAGGAGGAGGGGCUCGAGAUCCGCCCGGGGAGGCAGCGCGGAGCCGCCCGCCCGCCCACACGGCGCUGCACGUGCCCCGAGCCGGCAUGCAGGAGCCCCGGGGCCGCCUGCUCCUUCCAUCCCGACCCCAGCCCCAAAACAUCCGGGGAGCCCCCUCCUCGGCGCCUCCGGGUGCUUAGUGUUACCUUUUACACGUGGCUGUUCACUAAUUACUGAGAAGGAAAUUCCCGUCAGGGUACUGAGGAAGCUCCUAAUCCUGAAAUGCUUCCAUCAGCUGCCCAAAGAGCUGCAGAGGCACAGUCAUCUGGAGAGUGCCUCAAGGAUCCCCAUCUCUCCGCAGCAGCGCCAUCCAUCCUGAUGCAAGCAAAGGCUGGGUGUGAGGCCACGGAUGCCAAUUGCGAGGCAUGGGACACGGUGUAGGGAAGGUCGGAGCCGUGUAUAUAAGCCCUAGGUAUCAGCGUGUGGCAGGGCACUGCUAGUGCCUGCCACUUUAAGGGCUGGGUCAGGCAUCCAGCAAGUGCCUGAUGGCAGCAGUCAUUUUGACAACUUUGUAUAUAAAGGCUGCAGUCUGCUGCUGCCAGCCGAGGCAGAAACACUGCCUCGCUGAGCUGCAGCAGGAACAACCAGGCGGUAAGGGAAAGAGCUUAUGGGGAUGGCUAGGAGGCUCUUGGUCCUGGGCACGACCGAAAACUGCACCCUGCCGGGAAUGGGUGGCCUGGUGGGGCUCCUAGUGGCGUGGGAGCCCCCAGGAAAUGCCAGGCCAGUUACCACCCCGGUGAAAGGCGGGUCGGGGCGCCUUUAUAACCCCAGCUCCCACAACCAGGUGGGUAACCCCAUAGUAGGCCUGAGACAGCGGACCCCUGUGAGAGAGCGGACUAGAUGCUCACAAUCCUGACUUGAGGCACCCUCAACUGGUCAGUGCUGGGGCCAGGACCAGAAGGGUCAAAAGGGCCAGGGGCCCACUGUGAGGGACGCCCAGAGCCAAGGGCCUGGGGUUUCUAACUGGCCUUGGAGGGGAGGCCAGGGCCUGUGUGGCCAAAGGUCCCGGGGUGUGGGGCACACCUGAGAGGGGGAAGAGUGCAGGGAGGUAGACAGCCCAGAAUGAGGGCGGAGUAGGCCGCCUGAUCGGAAGGAGCCAGUUGGGGUCCAGACUGGAGGAUUAUGGGGCCCAGGAUGGGGCCAAAGAUGCUAAGAACUGGGAUGCCAGCUGUGAGACAUGAGCUGCAGCAUAGGGGAGGAUUUGGAGCUGCAGAUAACAUCCCCAGGCAUUCGGGCAAGAAAUGGACAGCCUACCGCUUAAUUAAGACCAUCCUUUUGUAUUGCCACGGUGUGGCAGGAAAGAGAGGCGGGCGCUUAGCCCAGAAAUAGGUGGUCAGGAAGGGCCUCCUGUUACACAGUGCAAGUAAAUGGGCAGCUUCCUGCCACGUUCUCAUCUUUCACCUGUAUCAUCAAGGUUGUGGCAGGUGAGGGAGGCGGGCAGUUAGCCCUGAGACAAGUGGGUGGGUCAACGAUUUGACCGGCCCCAGGAUGCCCACUUGUUACCAGUGGACAGGAGGAUUAAGGUUCAACCAGACUGACCAGCAGCACUGGUGUUGCGGGGGACUCCUGCUUGGGACACCCCUCUGAAUUUGGUUGGUGUUUGUGAGAGACGCACUGAAAUUAGAUUAAGGGUUCAAAAACAUAAAAGGGACUGCUUUAGGACUAAGAGGAACAUGAGAAUAAAGAGGAUAAAGAAUGAUAAUGACAAGGCAGGUAAACAAUGGGAAGCACACACAAUAAUACCGAUGCAGUACUUUACUAAAUAUCACAAUCAGCUGGAAGGCCCAAAUGAAAUAACAGGAAAAUGGAAAAUGGCAUCAAGGAAGCAGACAGUUAAGAACAGGGCAGAAAAUUAUGGCAUCCAGAGGAUGAAACCAGUCUGUCAAUCCAAGGUGGUUCAAAUAGUUUGGAAGGUCACCUGGGACUGGGUUGUUCAGCACUAUUGCCUCUCACCCUCCAUGUGGAGCAGAGAUUACACUCACCAGUCUCUUUGAAUCAGAUGCAGCCAGGCACAGCUCUCCCACAACUCCAAUCAUAGCACCUUUGCCAGUGUAGUGAGAGAACAGCUGCUGAUGAGUCAGGCAGUUGUGUGAACUAUCCGAGGCCAAAGUACCCUUUAUAGAACCUACCUGUACGGCAUGUAUCAAGAAUGGAAUCACCUUACUACGUCUUAGAGCUCAUCAUGUUGUGAGAAACUGGUUAUCAACUUUCAAUAUUGAGAUUGGGCGGUAGGCUCCACAUGUUAAACCUUUCUUUCACUUCUUGAGUAGACAAAUAGAUAAAGCUGUUCUUGCUUCUCUAGACAGAAUUCCAUUUUCAACUAUUUCACUGUACAUAGUUUAUAAUAAUUGUUGCCAGACUUUUCCGGAAAGGUUUCUAAAAUUCAGAUGGAAAACUGCCAGAGCUUUCCCCUCUCAAAGAAAUGCAGCACCUCCGUAACUUUCUGUAACGUGAUCUCCUUCUCUAGUUCAAUUGCUUGACAUAUUCAAAUCUAAUUCAUAUAGCUUCUAAUCUAAUACUGUAUUAUCAUUGGAGGUAAUUAUUGCAGAGAUCUGCUAUUUGAUGCCUCUGCCUAAAGUCUUCUAGCCAAUAACUUACCUGCCUUGUCACGCCACUCAUAGUCAUGUUAACUCUCUUGACCUGACAUGCAAUCCCAUGUCAAAAUGUUUAUGUAUCAUCACAAGAGACUUAUUCUGUCUGUCUGGAGCACUCUGAUUAGUUGUCUUGGCAGCCAAUCGCAAUGCUGAAACUGAAACAACCAAAAGUGCAGACAGAAUAAGACCAUUUCAGACAGAUAUGUAGACAACUUAGAGGUAGAACGAAGCACUGGGGCGCUCUGCUGUGGAGUGGGUAGGGUCCGACGAGGGCACGGGGGUGAGGGGGCAGGGUUGAGAGGUGGGGAAAUAAAGCAGUGAGGGGCCCGUUCCCCAUUUUUCCCCUCCAGAACCUGCCUGCCUCUCCUGCAGCCAGAGGGUGAGCUGCCAGUGGGAUCUGAGCUGCUGGGGGCCUCCAGUGCUUCCCUGCAUGGUGAUGGUGCCCCACAGGACUGCCGGGCCGGGUGUCAGCGGGUGGGUGCUGCCCAUGCAGUGCCGCCACCACAGCAGGAAGCACUGGAGUUCCCUGCAGCUCAGGGGCUGCAUGAACCACUGGCAGCUCACUCCUCAGCCACGGGAGAUGCAGGCAGGGACCGGGAGGAAAAAAAAUGAAGAUCAGGCCCCUCACUGUUUUUGUGGGGUUUUUUACUUGGCAGAGCCUGCCUGCAUGAGUUGCCACUGGGUCUUACAGCCCCUGAGCUGUAGGAGGGCCUUGUACUUCCCGCAGCGGUGGCAGACCCCCACUGGGCCGGCUGGGCAGGGUGCUAGCUGCUCGGGUGCAGCCCCAGCUCUCAGGCAGUAUCUGCCAGAACCAAUGGUGCAUGCGGCACUGGAAGCCUGGGUGUUUUCAGGGAAACUCAGGCUUGGUGGGCUUCCAGCACCCCGUGCACCGUCCCUGCCACCUUCCCACCACCUGGAACCACCCGGGAAUGGGCUGGCUGCCCCGGGAUGGUAGUGGGAUGGCAGCUGGGUGUGAUGGCAGCCAGAGAAGGUGUCAGGGAUGGGGUACGGGGCAGUGAAUACCCACCAAGCCCAAGCUUCCUCCAGCACCCUCAGGCUGCCAGCACCCCCAGGCUGCCAGCACCCCAUGUACCAUCCCCAUCGCCUCCUCCAGAUAGGGCCCUUGUACAUGUGAGGAAUAGCGCUGUAAUAUGUUAUGAAGAAAACUAAUACACAUGGGAUGUGUUUUACUUUGCUAUGUAAAAACUCAUUUAAAUCUUAACAUGCCACCGAACCUGUACAUCAUUACACAUUUAAAUGGUUAAAAAUGGGCAACGAAGCCACUUAAAUGGGCUAUUUCCUCACAUAUACAAGAGCUGUUAGUCACGUAUACAAGGGCCCUCUUAUUCUAUGACUGUAACCAAGUCACAAGGUCAAACUUUUGACAAAAUAUGUGCUUGUAUUCCUAAGCCUGUGUUUACACAUGGACAGCUUUACGUAGCCAUUUGAAGGGUGAGAAUUUUUGAUUCUGUUAAAGUAUUCGGUCAAUCACUAUCCUAAAAUCCUGUAUUUAAAGUAAUAAUUUUGCAAUAAAAAUGUAAUGACAAAUGUUU
Alligator mississippiensis (American alligator) is the source of this 4256-nucleotide long non-coding RNA. RefSeq lists it as uncharacterized. The transcript has 2 exons. The record is from RefSeq and is a predicted model, not a curated record. Lineage: Eukaryota; Metazoa; Chordata; Crocodylia; Alligatoridae.